This 635-nucleotide ribosomal RNA is filed under the name Staphylococcus sp. M4. RNAcentral's name for it is "bacterial SSU rRNA". It matches the Rfam family "Bacterial small subunit ribosomal RNA", at positions 50 to 668 of the family's 1533-position model. The record is from RNAcentral. Lineage: Bacteria; Bacillati; Bacillota; Bacilli; Caryophanales; Staphylococcaceae.
GUAGCCUGCAGUCGAGCGAACAGAUAAGGAGCUUGCUCCUUUGACGUUAGCGGCGGACGGGUGAGUAACACGUGGAUAACCUACCUAUAAGACUGGGAUAACUUCGGGAAACCGGAGCUAAUACCGGAUAACAUAUUGAACCGCAUGGUUCAAUAGUGAAAGGCGGCUUUGCUGUCACUUAUAGAUGGAUCCGCGCCGUAUUAGCUAGUUGGUAAGGUAACGGCUUACCAAGGCAACGAUACGUAGCCGACCUGAGAGGGUGAUCGGCCACACUGGAACUGAGACACGGUCCAGACUCCUACGGGAGGCAGCAGUAGGGAAUCUUCCGCAAUGGGCGAAAGCCUGACGGAGCAACGCCGCGUGAGUGAUGAAGGUCUUCGGAUCGUAAAACUCUGUUAUCAGGGAAGAACAAAUGUGUAAGUAACUGUGCACAUCUUGACGGUACCUGAUCAGAAAGCCACGGCUAACUACGUGCCAGCAGCCGCGGUAAUACGUAGGUGGCAAGCGUUAUCCGGAAUUAUUGGGCGUAAAGCGCGCGUAGGCGGUUUUUUAAGUCUGAUGUGAAAGCCCACGGCUCAGCCGUGGAGGGUCAUUGGAAACUGGAAAACUUGAGUGCAGAACAGGAAAGUGGAAUU